CACGUAGGGCGCAAGCGUUGUCCGGAAUUAUUGGGCGUAAAGGGCUCGUAGGCGGUUUGUCGCGUCGGGAGUGAAAACCUCGGGCUUAACUCGGGGCUUGCUUUCGAUACGGGCAGACUGGAGGUAUGCAGGGGAGAACGGAAUUCCUGGUGUAGCGGUGAAAUGCGCAGAUAUCAGGAGGAACACCGGUGGCGAAGGCGGUUCUCUGGGCAUGACCUGACGCUGAGGAGCGAAAGCCAGGGGAGCGAACGGG
RNAcentral lists this ribosomal RNA (253 nucleotides) under uncultured bacterium. Its description in RNAcentral is "partial 16S ribosomal RNA". It matches the Rfam family "Bacterial small subunit ribosomal RNA", at positions 524 to 776 of the family's 1533-position model. The record is from RNAcentral.